Molecule: long non-coding RNA, 517 nt
Organism: Oryzias melastigma (Indian medaka)
Lineage: Eukaryota; Metazoa; Chordata; Actinopteri; Beloniformes; Adrianichthyidae
Exons: 2
Source: RefSeq, a predicted model, not a curated record
GUUUUUUUAUUAUUAUUAUUAUUAUUAUUCUAAACUUAAGGUACAUAAAUCAAUAUUGAAAAAUAUCAUUUGGAUUGAGUAAUUGUAAGUUUAUUUAACUAUAACAUGUAAUCAAUUGAGUGAUAUCACAAAAGAUAACACAGGUGAUGCAGCAAAAAAUGAUCAAACCAUCAUUACAGUCUAAUGUGUGGAAAUGCUUUGAACUCUGCAAAGACCUGUGACCAUAUAGUGGGAUAAAUACCCAGGUAUUUAUUUCUGAGUCGACUUGAAUUUUUGGUGACAGAUGUCUUAGAUCAAUUUUAGGUCAGUGAAUCGGGUAGUUCAAAAUGAACCAAUAUAGACUAUGAAUCGUCUCAGAAACCACAAAUUAUAAAGUUAAUCAAAUUUGUGUUCAAAUGAAUCAUUACACCCCUACUAAACUGAUAAUUCAUCAAUAUUUUUAAUGUCUUUAGGUUUGUGGGUCAUUUCAAAAUUGGAAAACAUUCUACAUCCUAUCCUUCAUAUCUAAAAAAAAAAA